RNAcentral lists this long non-coding RNA (245 nucleotides) under Elaeis guineensis (African oil palm). RNAcentral describes it as "long non-coding RNA (EGUI_LNC025533)". Lineage: Eukaryota; Viridiplantae; Streptophyta; Magnoliopsida; Arecales; Arecaceae. The record is from RNAcentral.
GCCUCCAUCUUACCAUUGGUCUUUGGCCUUCGACUACCAAGGGGCUUAAGGACGAGGAGAGAGAGAGAGAGAGAAGGGAAGGGUUAGCUAUCAUUUGUUGGCUUAUCACCAUAUGCUUUAAAAAAUGGAAUGGGAUCCUCUGUGGUACUCAAAAAGUACCGUAUAGUGUUGUGCAUAUAUUGGGACGUCCAUCAAAAGAUGGAUGGUUAUGUAAUGUUAUCUAAACUAUUCAAAUAUCUUUGGAG